This 1649-nucleotide ribosomal RNA is filed under the name metagenome. RNAcentral describes it as "bacterial LSU rRNA". It matches the Rfam family "Bacterial large subunit ribosomal RNA", at positions 1294 to 2925 of the family's 2925-position model. The record is from RNAcentral.
AUGCUGACAUAAGUAACGAUAAAGCGGGUGAAAAGCCCGCUCGCCGGAAGACCAAGGGUUCCUGUCCAACGUUAAUCGGGGCAGGGUGAGUCGACCCCUAAGGCGAGGCCGAAAGGCGUAGUCGAUGGGAAACAGGUUAAUAUUCCUGUACUUGGUGUUACUGCGAAGGGGGGACGGAGAAGGCUAUGUUGGCCGGGCGACGGUUGUCCCGGUUUAAGCGUGUAGGCUGGUUUUCCAGGCAAAUCCGGAAAAUCAAGGCUGAGGCGUGAUGACGAGGCACUACGGUGCUGAAGCAACAAAUGCCCUGCUUCCAGGAAAAGCCUCUAAGCAUCAGGUAACAUCAAAUCGUACCCCAAACCGACACGGGUGGUCAGGUAGAGAAUACCAAGGCGCUUGAGAGAACUCGGGUGAAGGAACUAGGCAAAAUGGUGCCGUAACUUCGGGAGAAGGCACGCUGAUAUGUAGGUGAAGCGACUUGCUCGUGGAGCUGAAAUCAGUCGAAGAUACCAGCUGGCUGCAACUGUUUAUUAAAAACACAGCACUGUGCAAACACGAAAGUGGACGUAUACGGUGUGACGCCUGCCCGGUGCCGGAAGGUUAAUUGAUGGGGUUAGCGCAAGCGAAGCUCUUGAUCGAAGCCCCGGUAAACGGCGGCCGUAACAAUAACGGUCCUAAGGUAGCGAAAUUCCUUGUCGGGUAAGUUCCGACCUGCACGAAUGGCGUAAUGAUGGCCAGGCUGUCUCCACCCGAGACUCAGUGAAAUUGAACUCGCUGUGAAGAUGCAGUGUACCCGCGGCAAGACGGAAAGACCCCGUGAACCUUUACUAUAGCUUGACACUGAACAUUGAGCCUUGAUGUGUAGGAUAGGUGGGAGGCUUAGAAGUGUGGACGCCAGUCUGCAUGGAGCCGACCUUGAAAUACCACCCUUUAAUGUUUGAUGUUCUAACGUUGACCCGUAAUCCGGGUUGCGGACAGUGUCUGGUGGGUAGUUUGACUGGGGCGGUCUCCUCCUAAAGAGUAACGGAGGAGCACGAAGGUUGGCUAAUCCUGGUCGGACAUCAGGAGGUUAGUGCAAUGGCAUAAGCCAGCUUGACUGCGAGCGUGACGGCGCGAGCAGGUGCGAAAGCAGGUCAUAGUGAUCCGGUGGUUCUGAAUGGAAGGGCCAUCGCUCAACGGAUAAAAGGUACUCCGGGGAUAACAGGCUGAUACCGCCCAAGAGUUCAUAUCGACGGCGGUGUUUGGCACCUCGAUGUCGGCUCAUCACAUCCUGGGGCUGAAGUAGGUCCCAAGGGUAUGGCUGUUCGCCAUUUAAAGUGGUACGCGAGCUGGGUUUAGAACGUCGUGAGACAGUUCGGUCCCUAUCUGCCGUGGGCGCUGGAGAACUGAGGGGGGCUGCUCCUAGUACGAGAGGACCGGAGUGGACGCAUCACUGGUGUUCGGGUUGUCAUGCCAAUGGCACUGCCCGGUAGCUAAAUGCGGAAGAGAUAAGUGCUGAAAGCAUCUAAGCACGAAACUUGCCCCGAGAUGAGUUCUCCCUGACCCUUUAAGGGUCCUGAAGGAACGUUGAAGACGACGACGUUGAUAGGCCGGGUGUGUAAGCGCAGCGAUGCGUUGAGCUAACCGGUACUAAUGAACCGUGAGGCUUAACC